Molecule: ribosomal RNA, 253 nt
Filed under: uncultured bacterium
Lineage: Bacteria
Description: partial 16S ribosomal RNA
Rfam family: Bacterial small subunit ribosomal RNA
Source: RNAcentral
UACGUAGGGGGCAAGCGUUGUCCGGAAUUAUUGGGCGUAAAGGGCGCGUAGGCGGAUAGUUAAGUCCGGUGUGAAAGAUCAGGGCUCAACCCUGAGAGUGCAUCGGAAACUGGUUAUCUUGAGAACAGGAGAGGAAAGUGGAAUUCCUAGUGUAGCGGUGAAAUGCGUAGAUAUUAGGAGGAACACCAGUGGCGAAGGCGACUUUCUGGACUGUAACUGACGCUGAGGCGCGAAAGCGUGGGGAGCAAACAGG